CCAUGCAUGUCUCAGUACAAGCCGCAUUAAGGUGAAACCGCGAAUGGCUCAUUAAAUCAGUUAUGGUUCCUUAGAUCGUACCCACGUUACUUGGAUAACUGUGGUAAUUCUAGAGCUAAUACAUGCAAACAGAGUCCCGACCAGAGAUGGGAGGGACGCUUUUAUUAGAUCAAAACCAAUCGGUCGGCUCGUCCGGUCCGUUUGCCUUGGUGACUCUGAAUAACUUUGGGCUGAUCGCACGGUCUCCGUACCGGCGACGCAUCUUUCAAAUGUCUGCCUUAUCAACUGUCGAUGGUAGGUUCUGCGCCUACCAUGGUUGUAACGGGUAACGGGGAAUCAGGGUUCGAUUCCGGAGAGGGAGCCUGAGAAACGGCUACCACAUCCAAGGAAGGCAGCAGGCGCGCAAAUUACCCACUCCCGGCACGGGGAGGUAGUGACGAAAAAUAACGAUACGGGACUCAUCCGAGGCCCCGUAAUCGGAAUGAGUACACUUUAAAUCCUUUAACGAGUAUCUAUUGGAGGGCAAGUCUGGUGCCAGCAGCCGCGGUAAUUCCAGCUCCAAUAGCGUAUAUUAAAGUUGUUGCGGUUAAAAAGCUCGUAGUUGGAUUUGUGUCCCACGCUGUUGGUUCACCGCCCGUCGGUGUUUAACUGGCAUGUAUCGUGGGACGUCCUGCCGGUGGGGCGAGCCGAAGGCGUGCGGCCGCCUUGCGCGUGCCCGUGCGUCCCGAGGCGGACCCCGUUGAAAUCCUACCGCGGUGCUCUUUACCGAGUGUCGAGGUGGGCCGGCACGUUUACUUUGAACAAAUUAGAGUGCUUAAAGCAGGCAAGCCCGCCUGAAUACUGUGUGCAUGGAAUAAUGGAAUAGGACCUCGGUUUCUAUUUUGUUGGUUUUCGGAACCCGAGGUAAUGAUUUAUANGGACAGGGCGGGGGCAUUCGUAUUGCGACGUUAGAGGUGAAAAUUCUUGGAUCGUCGCAAGACGAACAGAAGCGAAAGGCAUUUGCCAAGUAUGUUUUUCAUUAAUCAAGGAACGGAAAGUUAGA
Molecule: ribosomal RNA, 1042 nt
Filed under: Anapodisma beybienkoi
Lineage: Eukaryota; Metazoa; Arthropoda; Insecta; Orthoptera; Acrididae
Description: SSU rRNA
Rfam family: Eukaryotic small subunit ribosomal RNA
Source: RNAcentral